UCUCCGUAGGUGAACCUGCGGAGGGAUCAUUACUGAGUGAGGGCCCUCGUGGUCCGACCUCCAACCCAUUGUUGUCCGACUCUGUUGCCUCGGGGGCGACCCUGCCGGCACUCUGUCGCCGGGCGCCCCCGAAGGUCUCCAAACACUGCAUCUUUGCGUCGGAGUUUAAAACAAAUUAAACAAAACUUUCAACAACGGAUCUCUUGGUUCUGGCAUCGAUGAAGAACGCAGC
This 232-nucleotide unclassified non-coding RNA is filed under the name uncultured fungus. RNAcentral's name for it is "sequence contains ITS1, 5.8S rRNA gene". The stretch from base 184 to 232 matches the Rfam family "5.8S ribosomal RNA", at positions 1 to 49 of the family's 154-position model. Lineage: Eukaryota; Fungi. The record is from RNAcentral.